CCACACCUGAACAUCCGACCACACGCGUAACGAUUAUGAGGGGAGUUCCAAUAUUUAUUUUCGUUUGGAUGUUCCCGAGGGUGCAGGAAGGUGUCCUGGUCUCGCAGAAUGGUAUUCUCAGAUGGAUGUUACCUUCCGCAGCUCCUGCUCGAGGUGCAAGAUCUAGCAGAAAACGCGCAAUAGAAAAAAAGUGGAAGUCAUCAGUGGAAUAUACAUUGUAUACGGCUUGAAUCUGCACAUUUCGAGCGUCCUUGAAUCCAAAUGCCGUGACUGUCUCCGCCCAGCUAAUUCUUUUUUCUCGAAAGAAAUCAGAACAAAAAAAAGAUCCGCAUUUGCCGAAAUCCUUGGAACUAACCUGAAAACGCCAACGAAACCAAACGCUGUCUUUAAGGUACGUUCUUUAUAGUAAUGGACUAUUUUAUCCUUUAUUCAGGUAACGACAUUUGAUGCUUCACUUCGUAAUAGUAUUUAGCUCACUGUGACACUUUACUUAAAUUUGGUGCUUAAUGAUGAAUGUCUAUUGUUGUUGUAAAUAAUUGUGAAAAGUGUGUAUAUGCCUAUGGUGAUACUUUAGAUUCUAGCUAUCCAGUAGUUAUGUUCAAGACAUCCUUGGCACAUGAAGUGAGUCCAUACAUGUUCAAAUUGAUUUUAGUGCUGUCCCAGACUUCUGACCUGUAAUCAUAAAUAUUCUCAUGACGUUUGCAACUC
Molecule: long non-coding RNA, 708 nt
Organism: Macrobrachium nipponense
Lineage: Eukaryota; Metazoa; Arthropoda; Malacostraca; Decapoda; Palaemonidae
Exons: 3
Source: RefSeq, a predicted model, not a curated record